Molecule: ribosomal RNA, 1320 nt
Filed under: Triticum aestivum (bread wheat)
Lineage: Eukaryota; Viridiplantae; Streptophyta; Magnoliopsida; Poales; Poaceae
Description: partial small subunit ribosomal RNA
Source: RNAcentral
UGCGCCCGCCACGUGCGCAAGCUCAAGGCCAACCUCGGCAAGGACAGCAAGAACCUCCGGGUCCCUCAUGGUGGACGACCACGAGGCGACGGUUUCUCUGGGACCACCAUCUGGUGGUAUGCCUCCAAGAGGUAGUCCACGGCCAACGUCAUCAACUUCUACCCCAGCCGAGACGAGAGGCGCUUCUACCAGGUCAUCUUCCACCGGCGGCACCGCGACCUCGUCGUCGACUCAUACUUGCCCUUUGUCAUUGGCGAGGGUCAUGGCAUGAUUGGCGAAAACCGCCAACCCCUCCUCUUCACCAACAAUGCCAGCAGCAGCUGGAGCCCCUACCUGGGCAAAAGCGUCUAGAACCAAGUCCCCUUUGAGCACCCCGCCACCUUUGACACGCUCACAAUGCAUCCCGAUGAGAAGGAGGUCGUCAUUGACAAUCUCAUGGCAUUCCAAGAGAGCAAGGAAUAUUACACCAAGGUCGUCAAGGCGUGGAAGUGUGAGUACCUCCUUUACGGAUCGCCCGGCACUGGCAAGUCCACCAUGAUCGCCGCCAUGGCCAACUUCCUCGAAUACGAUGUCUACGGUCUCGAGCUCACGGCGAUCAAGAACAACACUGAUUUACGGCAGCUCUUCAUCAAGACCACGGGAAAGUCCAUCAUCGUCAUAGAGGACAUUGACUGCUCUGUCGACCUCACCGGAAAACGCCGCAAUGACAAGAAGGCUACAAGCGACAAGGACUACGACAAUGAUGACAAGCCCUAGCUAUCAGUAAAGCCGGAGAAGGACGACGCCACCAAGGUGACGCUCUCAGGCCUGCUUAACUUCAUCGACGGGUUGUGAUCUACUUGCGGAAGUGAGCGAAUCAUCAUCUUCACUACCAACCAUAAGGAGAAGCCGGACCUGGCGUUGAUCCGGCGGGGCAUGAUGGACAAGCACAUCGAGAUGUCCUACUGCCGCUUCGAGGGCUUUAAGGUACUUGCCAAAAAAUACCUAGAUGUCAUCGAGCACAAGCUCUUUGGGGAAAUUCAGCGGCUGCUCGAGGAGACAGACAUGUUGCCCGCCAACGUUGCAAAGAACCUGAUGUCCAUGUCGAAGAAGAAAAAGAGGGAGCCCAACGUGUGCUUGACAGGCCUCAUCGAGGUGCUCAAGCAGGCCAAAGAGGACAUGGCGGCGGCCAAGGUGAAGGACGCAAAUGGCAAGGAGGCUGCAGCAAAGAAAGCCAAGGAGAAAGAGGAGGCGGAGGUGAAGAAAGCUAAGGAGGAAGACAAAGGGAAGGACAAAGAACCGGAGGAAGCCAAUGAAGAUAUCAAGCAAGGUGACAAAUGA